This 460-nucleotide ribosomal RNA is filed under the name uncultured Bacillus sp. Its description in RNAcentral is "bacterial SSU rRNA". It matches the Rfam family "Bacterial small subunit ribosomal RNA", at positions 925 to 1382 of the family's 1533-position model. The record is from RNAcentral. Lineage: Bacteria; Bacillati; Bacillota; Bacilli; Caryophanales; Bacillaceae.
ACAAGCGGUGGAGCAUGUGGUUUAAUUCGACGCAACGCGAAGAACCUUACCAGGGCUUGACAUCCCCUGACCGCGUAUGAAAGUACGAAUUCACCUUCGGGUGACAGGGAGACAGGUGGUGCAUGGUUGUCGUCGGCUCGUGUCGUGAGAUGUUGGGUUAAGUCCCGCAACGAGCGCAACCCCUACGUUUAGUUGCUAACGCGUGAAGGCGAGCACUCUAGACGAACUGCCGUUGACAAAACGGAGGAAGGUGGGGAUGACGUCAAAUCAUCAUGCCCCUUAUGUUCUGGGCUACACACGUGCUACAAUGGCCGGUACAGACGGACGCAAAGCCGCGAGGUGGAGCCAAUCCUCAAAGUUGGUCUCAGUUCAGAUUGCAGGCUGCAACCCGCCUGCAUGAAGAUGGAGUUGCUAGUAACCGCAGGUCAGCUAUACUGCGGUGAAUACGUUCCCGGGGCUU